AAUGAGUUCAGCCCAGAUGUGGGAAUUUUGGCAAACAAGAGAAGGGAGCAGAUUUAAACCCAGUGGGAGUUUCCCCCCACAGAGGGACAAAAGGACCCCCUGAUGAUCCUCUAAUCGCCUGAGCCAAGGUGUCAAACUGGGUGUGGGUCCCAAUCAGCCAGAGUUUCAGGUGAGCUCAUUGUGAAACCUGCACCCAACGUUGGCAUCCUCGAAAGAGUGACCUUUGACCUUUAGAUGCAGAUGGACUGCUGAGUCUUGUCCCGUGGAGGUGGCUCUUCUAUGUUGUGCCAUCCGCUUGUGAAGUGGCUCGCGCUUGCAAAUACAAAUAUUUUUUAAAGUAUUUUUUGAAAUAAGAAUUUGUAAAAAAAAAUAAAUACAAAAAAACACGCUAUUUGUGCCUUUCCAAAUAUCGUAUUCGGGUUCAGCUCCACUCCUACUUUUCACAUUUGACCAACUUCUAGAUGGCAUAAUUUUGUUAGAGGUCUUAGCUCAACAGGGAGAAACAAAGGCAUUGUUGUAAAGGUUUGACAAACAUCACAUAAUGUUGGAAUGUUAUAAAGUACAUAAUUGUUUUUUAUCUUAAUUUCCCUUUUUUUUUUUUUUAAAAAAGUUCUUUGAAUUGUUGCCACAUAAUUUAAUUUCAGUUCUCAACAUUUUAAUUUUAACUAACAGAAUCAGCUUAAUGCAGAAAUCAAUAAGCUCCUCAGGAAACUCCAGCCAUACAGAUAUUUUCACAAAAUCUAAUGGACAUAAAAUUGUAUUUGUGCAUUUCCAAAGAGCUACAAGAGGGGGGUUUAUUUGUAUGUCCAUGCUUGCCUCAGCAUGUUUCUAUAAAAAGUCACACAUAUCACACAUAUUUCCCAUUUUACUAAUUAACUUGAUAUCUCUGCAUAAAUAUGUUCACGUUGAUAUUUGUUUGAUACCUUUUUCUCUUUUUUUAAAUGAAUCAUGGCUUUCUCUCCCACUGCCUUCUUUAACUUGGAGGCCUUUAAAGACAUGAAAGCUCAGUUGUGCGUCUUUGACUCUCUUUAAGGUUUUUGACAUUGAAGUCUGGAACCAAACAUGCUUUCAGGUGGAGGAGCAGCAGCACAGUUGGCCAUUGUAAACUGAGUGUGUA
Molecule: long non-coding RNA, 1117 nt
Organism: Astatotilapia calliptera (eastern happy)
Lineage: Eukaryota; Metazoa; Chordata; Actinopteri; Cichliformes; Cichlidae
Source: Ensembl